Long non-coding RNA from Musa acuminata AAA Group (dessert banana), 1520 nucleotides. RefSeq lists it as uncharacterized. The transcript has 3 exons. NCBI's taxonomy places the organism in Eukaryota, Viridiplantae, Streptophyta, Magnoliopsida, Zingiberales, Musaceae. The record is from RefSeq and is a predicted model, not a curated record.
GCCAGGCAAGAGGGUGGGGACCUGAGUCAGGGUCACAGCCUUGGUGAGCAACGUCUCACCUACUCGUUAGUAAACCACCAUUAAAAUAGUUGCAGAAAAAGUGUGUAUGAAUUGGCAUGAUAGUAUUGGAAGAAAACGAGAGCAGUUCUCAUGCUCCUCUGCUUCGUUGCCAGCGAAGUUUGUACCUCUAGUUGGCCCUCUCUUUCCUGCUUGUUCCUACCCUGCCGCUUUUUCCUCUCAUUCCUCUUCCUUCUCUUCUUCUCCAAGAACUGAACCACCGAGGGAUGCCUACCCGAGGAUAUGUUCUGAUCUUUGUCUUCUGGGCUCUGCUCACCAUCAUUACCCCGACUCUCGUCUCCUGGUCGGCGUCAGCAAAGCCAAAUCUUGUUGCUCCCGGAGAGACUUUGCUGGAGAUGAAGGUCAAUAGGAGAAUGAUGGGUUCCGUAGAGACCGCUGCCCAACUAAAGAACGGCACCAGGAAGACGAUACCACGAGCAACGGCGCCAUCGCCGGCUGCAGCUCCGGCACCAGCUCCUGCGGCAGGACAUGACGUGCUCAGCUAACGCUAACACUUCCAUGACGGCGGCGUCGAUUGACCUUUGAUUUUUCAGGUGAUAGGUAUUUAUAUAUAUACGAGCGAUUGGGGGGUAUCAUAAUAGUGUGGCAGAUCUUGUGAGUUCUGAUCACAAGAAAGAGUGGGUAGAUCACUCCUAAACCAUUUGCUAGAGAGGAUCUUCCCUUCCCCAGCAUUCGUGCGACAUGUCCUCUUCAAAACGUGUUGCAGCUUUACAGGGUACCUUCGAGCUGACAGCCACAGUCGCAGUUUGCGACCCUCGUCGCUUGCACGGAUCGAUUCGCGACAACAGCAUUGGGGAUCGAUGCACGCAGACCUUAUCGUUGCUUCGGAACAGGGUGGCCAAGUCUUGGGAUCUUAGAGCAGUAAAAUCGCAGGCAAUGAGAUAGAACUUCUUAGUACUAUCAUUACUGUCAUUAUUCGAACAAAAACUCGACUGCGCUCUGGAAAAUUAGGUCCAUUGCAUGCUUUUUCUUCGUAUGUUUCGAUUGAUUCUUGGAUCGGGGGGAAGAAGAAAGGGACUUGUUGGAUCGUCGAUGCUUCUUGGCUCGUUCCCCCGAGAUAGACUGAGGUGUUCCCUCAAUGAAGUGAAAAAGACGACCCUGCCGAAGUGACAAGAGAUUUCCUUGUUGUUGUUGUGAUCGACUCUCGAGUUUUAUUGAUCGACGAUGAAGUCGUACCACAUUUCAUGUCGAACCGGAAAAAGCUCAUCUCUUCUUUAUUGUUUGCCUUUAGAAACUGAGCAGAUGCGCUGUGUGUUCACGUGAUCUUCCCUUUUGUCCGCAGCAUGAAGAGUUCUCUACCUGUGUGCGUCGCUCCUGCUCUUCGGACAUUAUGUCCUCGCUCAUUGAAAUCUGGCUUCAUCGGCAAACAUAUCGAUUAGUAGCUGUGCAUUUCUCUGUUCUUUCCCCCGAGACAUAAACAUAACGAAAGCAUGAUAAGUCUC